Molecule: non-coding RNA, 6568 nt
Organism: Manis javanica (Malayan pangolin)
Lineage: Eukaryota; Metazoa; Chordata; Mammalia; Pholidota; Manidae
Source: RefSeq, a predicted model, not a curated record
CUAGCAGUCCUGCCAGAACUCGAUUGAUCCAGGUUUCCUUUGCUGUAGUUUAUAGAUGAUCUGAUCAAAAUUAAAAUACAGCUGCAAUCUGGAGGCCCAUAUGUGAACAACUGUGUUCAAACCAUUUGCAUUUUUCCCCAGAUCCAGCACUCCUUGCUUUGAUUGUCCUUACUCUCAGUAAAUAUCCCAGACUUUGAUACCACUUUGAUCAAAACAUUGCUGUAAUGAAGUCUAUUUUUUACUGAUUUUUCAGUUUCUGUAGUUUUUAAUAGCUAGAAAGUAAGUAAACCAGUCUAGAAAAACCUGACUUUUUAUGUGAUACAUGACCUUGUGUUGGUGAUUGUGUAUUUUGUAUUUUGCAUGUACACUUAGUAAAAAAUCCUAAAUAAUACCUGGUUUUUCAAGAUAAUUAACCAUGUGAGUAUGUAUCUCAAAUGUGCUCUUGGGCACUUUUCUAAAUUAAACAAGGACUCUUCUCCAACUCACUGUGGACUAUUUAAGUGACUCCAGGGAAUUGGAUUAGAUAGUUAAGAGUCCAGAAUAUAAUAUAAAUAUGUAUGUGCUUAAAUAAGAUAUCAUUUUCUGACCACUGAAAUAUGACCAGCAUUUGUUUUCUUCUGCUAGAUUUUGGAUCUUGGUAAUUAGUUUUCAGUUAAAUGUCAUUUGUUUCUUGGUUUCUUAUAGUUAUUGCUGUCCUGGUGAUUUGCACCUGCUUGUAUAAAUUUCUUUCCAGAAAGAAGACACAGUAAAUUAAAAGCAUGCUUCUUCGAACUUACUGGUCCUUCUCACUGUUGACAUAUUUCUGUGAAGCUUUUGUUUGUAGUCUGUAUCACAUGCCAUCUUUUUUUAAAGCGUGCCUUCAUGAGUGCACCAUCUGACUGGCAUUUGUCUACUAAAAAUAUUUUCAACUGGUUUUACUAUCUUUGCCAACAGGAGUACUCUGUGCAGAGUUGCUUCAGUUAUUUUUUUCUGUGGGAUUUGUGGUUUCAGUUCUACAGUGAAUCAUGGAUUAUUAUGAGUCCUUCCCUGCCCAGCUACCAGUGAAUGAGUCUCUAAGCUGGACAUCCAUUUCAGGAUGGCAACAUAGGAAGAUCUGAACUUACCUCCUCUUCCAACGCUUGGAAUCUACAGCUACACAUAGAACAAUUCCUUUGAAAGAAAUCCAGAAAACUGCCGGGUGACUACACAGCAGGUGGAGGAAAACCCCCCAUGAACGUGGGUAGCAGAGGCGAGACCCUGUCUUCUCAUAAGCCCCGCCCCUGGCGCAGCAAGCCCCAAUCAGAUGGGAACUCACAACUCAGACUUUCCCUGAUGAGUGAAGUGUUGGAACCCCACAUCCGACACCCCAACUUUUAAGACCUGUUGUCUGAGAGAUGGGUCCCCCAAACUUCCAUCUCUGAAAGUCAGCAGGGUCAUGUCCUGAGGACCCAGGAGGCUAGUGAAUGGAGAAACGGUUCUUAAAAGGCUCGCCGGGCUCACUGGGGUAACCCCCAGGCAUGGUGCCAAGGCAGCUGGCAGAGACUUGCCAAAUCUUUCUGUGAAAGAGACCUGUUUGCUUAUUUGUAAAGUUUUGGCCUGAGGGUCAGUCAUCUAGUACAACACACACUUAGGAGUCCAGACACUGUCCAAAGGCCAUGAAGGCUGGGAGCCCCAUCUCUGGCUCCCCCUGUCCCCCGCUCCAGGUAACUGGCGUCUCUCAAGAAGGAGCUGGGCACACAACCGGGUCCCUGGUAUUUGUGGCUGCUGCGCAGGGAACACCUUUUGGUUGCCCUGUAUUGGUGACCAGAGGGGCUAAUGUUCAUGGCCCCACAGUGACAAAGGGAGAGAGAGUUCUUAACCAGCUGCCCCCAGGACACAGCACAGUGGCAGCCGACUGAAACGAACCCCAUCUUGCUGCGAGAGAAGCCUGUUACCUGCCUAGCUGCAGCCCGAGGAUCUUCUGCUAAACGGACAUCUGGGGACAGACCGCACCUCCUCAGGCCCCUUGGAAAGAGGGUGCUGUCUGCUCCUCUCCCUGCCGUGCUCCAGGUCACCGGUAUCUCCCGAAAAGAAGCUCGCACACACUUCUGGUGCCUCAGUGUUUGUGGCCGCCAUCCAGGGGACACCCCUUGCCCGCCAGCCCCUGUGGUCAGCAGGGCUUGUGUUCAUGGGUUCAGUGGGGCAGCAGCGAGCCAAGAAGCUUAUCUGUAACUGACCGUCACCCCAGGGCCCCGUGCAGAGGAAGCACACAGAAACACCCAUCUCCCUGUGUUCCCUGAAAGACGUGUAAUUACAUACUUGACAAGAGUAUGCUGCCUGAGGGCCUGGUCUCCAGUCAGCCAGAAUCUAGAAGCUGACUAAGCUCCUCCCCUUUGGGAGGAUCCUUCAACCACUGGAAGCCAGUAAGAAAAAGGUGGGCUGCCUGGACAAUCACAAGGUUUGAGUGACAACUGAAAGCUGGGCACGGUUGAAUGAUAAGGGACAUCUAUACGUGAACACUCCUUUAGGACUGGGAGAGGUGAUUGUUUAUCAAAUGCACAGAAACCAAUACAGAGAGUCAAGGAAAAUGAAAGAACAGGAAUAUGUUUCAAAUGAAAGAACAAGAUAAAACCUCAGUAAAAAAUCAUAACGAAACAAGCGAUUCACCUGUGCACUGAUGUGAAUGGAUAAAGAAAAAGCCUUACAUGUAUACAGUCAAAUAUUAUUCAACCAUAAAAAGGAUAAGUCUUGCCAUUGCAACAACAUGGAUGGACUGUGAGGGCAUUUGCUAAGUGAAAUAAGUCAGACAGAAAGAAAAAUACCAUAUGAUCUGGCUCCAUGUGGAAUCUUUAAAAAAAAGCCAAGCUCAUAAAUACAGAGUACAGAUUGCUGAUAUACCUCCAGAGAUGGGGAGGCGGGAGUGGAUGAAGUGAAAGGGGUCAGAAGGUAGAAACCUCCAGUUAUAAAUAAGUCAUGGGAAUGUAAUGUACAGCAAGGCGGCUAUGGUUAGCAAUACUGUAUAGUUGAAAGUUGCUGAGACACUAGAUCUUAAAAUGUUCUCAUCACAAGGAAAAAUAAAAAUAAUUUUGUAACUAGGUACAGUGACAUGUUAACUAGACAUUGUGGUGGUAAUUUUGCAAUAUUUAUAAAUACUGCAUAUAAAGUUGUACAUCUGAAACUAAUACAAUGUUAAGUGUCAAUUAUACCUUGAUUUUGGAAAGUGGACAAAGGAUCUGAAUAGACAGGUUUCCAAAGAAGACAUACAAAUGGCCAACAGAUACAUGAAAAGGAGUUUAACAUCACUAAACAUCAGGGAAAUGCAAAUCAAAACCACAAUGAGAUACCAUCUCACACCUGUUAGAAUGGCUUUUAACAGAAGACAAGAAAUAAUAGUUUUUGGCAAGGAUCAUGGAAAAGGGGAUCCUUGUGUACUGUUGAUAGGAAUGUAAAUUGGUGCAGCCGCUAUGCAAAACAGUACGAAGGUUCCUCAAAAAAUUAAAAAUAAAACCAUCAUGAUCCAGCAGUUCCACUGACAGGUAUUUAUCUGAGGAGAUAAUACUACUAUUUCAAAAAGAUAUCUGCACCCCCGUGUUCAUUACAGCAUUAUUUACAGUAACCCAGAUAUGAAAGCAACCUAAGUGUCCAUCAGCAGAUGAAUGGAUAAAGAAAAUGUAGUGUGUGUAUAAAUAAAAUGGGAUAUUAUAUAUAUAACUAUAUAUUCCAUUAUAUGUAUAAUUGGGUAUUAUUCAGCUAUAAAAAAAGCAGGAAAUCUUCCCAUUUGAGACAAUGUAGUUGGACUUUCAGGGCAUUUUGCUAAGUGAAAUCAGAGACAAGUAUUUUACAUUACUUAUAUGUACAAUGUUAAAAAAAAAUCUUUCUUCCAUGCUUCCUAGUCUGGGAAUCCACAGCCCUUGCCCUGUCGUUUGCUACUUCUCUGGGUCCCAUUUUGGGUGACAUGACUCUGUGGUUCCGAAAAACAGAUGCCUUUGUUUACAUGACUGUUUUUACUUAUUUGUAAUGACUUUUUUCAUAAAUGCAUAAUUUUCUUUACUCCAGUUAAAUCAUCAAAGCAAGCAUUCACUAGUGAGAGUUGAUUAGAACUAUUUGCAUAAUUUAUAUAUUUUAUUACCUGUGACUAGUUAUAUUUAUUUCAUUAAGGGUAUUUAUUAUCUGUUAUAACUGAAAGCUAUCUUUAAUGUUAUAUUAAUAAUGACUGAUCCAGUAACUUUGUAAUUUCUAAGCUGUCUGCUUAAAUGAAUGUUACAAAGGUUUGUGAGAUUUACUGUGUCUUAACGGCUAGUUCAGGUAGUGGGGUAAUGACAUGGGGCAAAAAGCUGAAGGAUCAAAUUGAGCAUUUUACAUUUUAGCUCUCAAAUUCUCGAGCAUUUGACAAACUCCUCAAAAAUUUAAAUUUGACUAGUAAGUAACAAAGGCUGUGUAAUUAGUAGAAAGAGCACAUGAAAUUAUGAGUUGUGAAAUUUAGGCCUAUCCCAGAGAAAUGGGAGGUCAUGUGAGACCUUCCCUGAGGUUGACGCCACAUGUGCCAGGGGAAGAAACCGCUCGGUGCAAAAGCCAUCAUGCACCUGAAAAUGUGUGACUUGUCCUAAAAUUGAUUACUAAGACAUUGCUCAUGGAUUUAAUAAGAUCUCGGUGUACUCUCUCCAUAUCUAAGGUGCUAGAGACCAGGAUGGCUUCUUACAGUCUUGCUCUGUGAGAGAGUUCACAGUGUUCACUGAAGGCCAGGUGGUUUCAGAGGUAAACUGACUGCACAGAGGUGCAGAGUCCGUUCUGCCUGUAAGUCUUCAAAGCGAAAGAGCUUCUCGCGUAAGGUGCCUGUUCUGGACUGGACGGCCAGGACCGCCCUUGUCAUUGUGAGCGGAUUGUCGCCCCCACCUCACCCUCUGCCAGGGACUUUGUCCAACUGAUGUGCCGCUCACUUCCCCUGGUUUGGUGUCAUGAGUUUAUUCUGCCCUUUUCCCAUCCUCUGUUCAGCACAUACCUAACUGGUGAGAGCCACAGAGAAGUAAAAUUUAUUUUUCUCUGAGGAGAAGCAUUUAUUUUGAAAGUUAUCUGCUUUCUGUGUUUGUUUUGAGAGAUGUCCUUUCUUUUGAAAAAUGUCCGAUGAAUAUUUGGGUAACAUUAACGUGAGCUAAGAUACACUGGCAGUAAACAUCACAGAGGACACAGAUUCCUGUUCUCUGCUAAGUUGCUGAGGUUUUCUUACACCGUUCCCGUUUUGCACAUAAGUAGCAUGUACUGACAGGCGCUGACGUGGGCUCCGGGAGAGGCGUGUCGCCUUGUCCUUUCAUCAGACUGUCUGGCUUCUUCUGCCUUCUAGCAGCUGUGAACCCAAAAGCAAGGGGAUAUUUUUAGCCCAGUGGGAAAUAAUCACAGAAUCUGUUCAAGUGCAGGGAGGAAAAAUAGCGGUUUCUAAAACCCCAAAUACGUUUUAUUUAAUUUUGUAAAUAAAUUCAACUUGUAAAUAUCAAUGCAAUCAAGGCAUUGAUCUGUUUCCUUUGAUCAGAAUAUUGUUAGUAUAUGAACAAAAAAAACCAACAAAUAAUUCUUAGUUUUGAAACAGUGAAUUGCACUGCCUUAAACCCACUGACCCCCUCCACCUUCUGCCCUUGAAUUGGGAGAGUGCCUGCAUUUGGGCCAGAACGUGCCCCCAUAGCUGGGAAGAGGGAGCUGUGUAUCCCACCACUUACGGUGGGAGGCGUUACCCUCGGUUACAAUCAAGCGCUUGGGAGCAGAAAGGCCAAUAGGAGAAGCCACAGUGGUAUCUUUGCUCACAGAGCCGAAGGGGAGAACAACAUGCUAGAACUGGCCAUGUGCCCGCCUUGUGUGUCUGCUUGGUCUCAGAGUUCCUUUGAAGCUAAAGCCCACCAGGAAAGGAGUUCUCAGAUUGUCCUGAGCUUCCAGCAUGCCCACCUCCACCCAAGAUCCGCAAUGGGCAUCUCAUCGGAGGACGUGUAGCUCCCUAUCUCCCUGGGAUGACAGUCACCUACACUUGUGACCCAGGCUACCUGUUGGUGGGAAAAGCCUUCAUUUUCUGUAUGCACCAGGGAACCUGGAGCCAGUCUGAUCAGGAUUGCAAAGGGCCAUAUGAUGCUCUCAUAGUUGUUAAGUUUCAUGAAGGAUUUGCUGAGGUACUCUAGCAUCUUUAACAGUAAGUAUCCCCUUAUGAUGAAUGAAAUGUAAAAUGAGAGAUCAAGAUAUCUUAUAAUGCAAUUUCAGUUAAAAAGAAAAUAAAUUCAGACCAUGGUGUGGCAAAACUGGUAUCCUCGGAUGCAUGUAGAGUGAGUGUCCUUUAUCAAAGUUCCUGUGCAAUCAUCAACCCAUUACAAAUGAAAUGAAAAAUCAUUCUUCAGAGUCAUACUAUCUUUGAACCUUUACAAAUGAACUAUCCUUCUUCCUAUUUUAAUGUGACUGGAGAAUGCAACUUCCUCUUUGGUUUAUAACCUGGGAAUAUUUCAGAAUGGUAGUCUCGCCCACUUGCACAAUUUUCUAAGCCCAUGUCUGUGAUCUGCUUAUGGAAGAAAAAUAGCUUUGUGAUACGGUUUACUUCAAAGAGAAUUAGUAGAGUCUGUUGCAUAGAAGAGCAGGUACC